This is a long non-coding RNA of Cataglyphis hispanica, 2492 nucleotides long. RefSeq lists it as uncharacterized. Lineage: Eukaryota; Metazoa; Arthropoda; Insecta; Hymenoptera; Formicidae. The record is from RefSeq and is a predicted model, not a curated record. The transcript has 4 exons.
CAAGACGACGGCAACGAACAGACAAUCGAAUCGACGACGACGACGACGGGAAACGUGAAUAAAAAGAAAUCGUGGAAGUGGAAGAGAAAGAAGAAGAAAAAGGAAAUAGCAGUACACUUGCUCAUUAUGGAGGACAAAGUAUAAAUUUUAGCAUCGUUUCACACAGCGCAGCAAUGUAUUCAACAGGGUAACAACAAGCGAUCGAGGAUGUGCACCUGCUUUGCUGUGCGAUCCUCUUUGAUGUCAUUCUCUGGACUUUGAGUGUCACAAGAAGAGCAAGCGAGAGAAAGAGAGAAAACGCUGAGGGAGCAACAUCGCGAAAAAAGCGCCUUUCAAAGCGGAUACUCGUUUCCUCCUUUGCGCAAGAAUGAAACGUUUCGCCUUUUCACGCAUUUACCCGAAUACGCGUGUCGAUACUUGGUAUUCUACGAUAUGCGAAGCAAUUCUCUACAAGUGAAGUUGUCUGCAAGAUCACAAACAGUGGAAGCAAUUAUCGCUUCAUUCAAUGGCAAGAUUUGAGAAAUGGAAGUAGAAAUGACAAAAAAAGAUGCGCAACGACGUUCCUGAAAUCGACUGAUAAUCACCAUGUCAUUUACUUCAAUCUGACAUCAGUAAUUAUUUCAACUUGACUUUAACGCAUAUUUCAAGGACAAGCCUUCAAGUGACGCAUCAUGGCGGAUAAUCGUUUUGCAACAGCUGCAGUGCAUUGCACAUCGCAAUCACUUAUCGUCCUCGCGAGAGCAAUUUUUGUUCUCGAACGCGCGAGCGGCGUCCCCAGCGAAUAGAAAAGAAACUAAAUACUAGAAGCUAAAACUUCAGGUCCGCAACUUUAAGUCCCUCGCGAAUAAUCACCGGCCUAGGGGCGAGAGUCUCGGCAUACAUAACAGGCUGUGGUAGUCGACCGAUGACCGGCGCAGCCAGCUAAAAGAUUGCAGAAAAUCCGUCCGAGCGACGAGAUAAAUUCCCUCGCGUGUGCCGCGCGGACGUGCAAAACAAAAUUAGAAGAGAAAGACAAAACAAAAUAAAGAGGCUGAGGGCGGUGAAAAAGAAGAGAAGAAAAAAGAAAAAUAAAAUAAAAAAGCGAAAGAACGGAGCUUGAAAGGACGAGAAGUGGUCGUCCGAGCACGCUGAUAAACGCUGAGUAAUGGGGACGCAAAUUGCGUGCGAGGAAUACCGCGUGAGAAAUGAGUCCCCGAUGCAAAUUCUUGCGGCCGCGAGGGCGACGCGACGACCGAUGCUGCCGGACGCUGUAAUUCCGUCUAAACGGCACGACGCGAUCGCGAACGGGUCCGACCGAACGAAGCUGACCGUUCCUCGUCGUAUCCGUGACGAUCCGACGAGAAACGUGUAAUUUCCGGGAGAACUCGCCAAUUAGUGGAAAGCACACCGGUGGAGAAUCUCUGUUAAGUUAUACAACGUCGAGUAUCAACACGCCGAAGAUGGUAGACGGGUUACGUUACUACGUUAUUACAGCAUCGAUAACUCUCAACACGGUGUUCGCUACGAACCAAGAGAAUAUAGAAUCCGCGAGAUACUGACAGAAAUGGUCUUCGCGAACCAACGUGUAUAUACGAAAUUUUCGGCGCAGAUUAUUCUCCAACGUCAACAGCUCUUAACCCUGAUCUCGCGAUGCAGCAGCGUGACGAUAUUACGUCUCUGUAUAGUCUUCGUGAUAUUACGAGCCGACGUGUACAAACUUCGCGGUACUACAAACCAACGUGUAUAGUCUUCACAAUAGAGAGUGAUUCGGCGAGUCUGUAAGGCGUCUGUCGGUCUUGCCGGAGUUUCUGCGGCAUCAAUUACACCUCGCUUCCCAGGUUUGUUCCCCGGGAUUGAUGCGCAGACUCUUUGCCGGCAGAGUGACUGCGCGAUUAUUCGAGAAACGUAUAGUUCCGCUUUAACUAGAGGAAGCAACUUUGCUUCGUCCUCGAGAUCAGAUAUAUCUCAACGCAUCUUAUACUCUAUUGUAUAGCGUAUCUUUCUAUAAUAUACCGAGUUAUUAUAACGUAAUAAUAUAAAUAUAAGAAGAUUUAAAACAAAUUUUUCAUUAUUGAUCUCGAGUUAGUAAAAACGAAUCGAAGAUGCUUGCUAGGAGAUACUGGCAAGAAAUAAUUUUCCAGUGAUAAAGGCUAAUGCAAAAAAAAGUUUUUAUAUUAUAUAUACAAUAUUAAUAAAAAUAAUUUUACCAUUAUUUAAACAAUUUCUCUCGUAUUAUUGUUACAAAUAUUAAUAUAAACAGUUUAUCAAGCCGACUGCAAGUGAUUAUGUGUUUCAUGACAGUAAGGUUUUGAUCUUAAACGCCGCAAACGGAAGAAAGGAUCUAAAGAAAGUGUGGAUGCUUCAAGGUGAGAUAUUUCAUGGUGUAACGUAUCAGGGAUUAAGGCAAACUCCUUGAAACGGACCCUCGGAUUUGCCUACACGAUAGAAGGAACGUCGAGUGGCCAAGUCAUAGUGAAGCAAAAGUCGAGCGAAAUCCGUGCUCGAAACUUUCC